UACGUAGGGGGCAAGCGUUGUCCGGAAUCAUUGGGCGGAAAGCGCGUGUAGGCGGUUCGGUAAGUCGGCUGUGAAAGUCCAGGGCUCAACCCUGGGAUGCCGGUCGAUACUGCCGGACUAGAGUUCGGAAGAGGCGAGUGGAAUUCCCGGUGUAGCGGUGAAAUGCGCAGAUAUCGGGAGGAACACCAAUGGCGAAGGCAGCUCGCUGGGACGUUACUGACGCUGAGACGCGAAAUCGUGGGGAGCAAACAGG
This 253-nucleotide ribosomal RNA is filed under the name uncultured bacterium. RNAcentral describes it as "partial 16S ribosomal RNA". It matches the Rfam family "Bacterial small subunit ribosomal RNA", at positions 524 to 776 of the family's 1533-position model. The record is from RNAcentral.